UUUCAACAACGGAUCUCUUGGUUCCGGCAUCGAUGAAGAACGCAGCGAAAUGCGAUAACUAAUGUGAAUUGCAGAAUUCAGUGAAUCAUCGAGUCUUUGAACGCACAUUGCGCCCC
Molecule: ribosomal RNA, 116 nt
Filed under: Penicillium glabrum
Lineage: Eukaryota; Fungi; Ascomycota; Eurotiomycetes; Eurotiales; Aspergillaceae
Description: 5.8S ribosomal RNA
Rfam family: 5.8S ribosomal RNA
About the family: 5.8S ribosomal RNA (5.8S rRNA) is a component of the large subunit of the eukaryotic ribosome. It is transcribed by RNA polymerase I as part of the 45S precursor that also contains 18S and 28S rRNA. Functionally, it is thought that 5.8S rRNA may be involved in ribosome translocation.
Source: RNAcentral